Molecule: long non-coding RNA, 528 nt
Organism: Paramisgurnus dabryanus
Lineage: Eukaryota; Metazoa; Chordata; Actinopteri; Cypriniformes; Cobitidae
Source: RefSeq, a predicted model, not a curated record
UUUUAAGGCUUCGUGUCUCAUCGCGUUAAACGAUCGCAGAACGAUUUAUUUCUCUUUUUCACCUCGAUCUUUGGCCUCGUGUAAUUUACCAAAACCAACAUGUGAAGUUACAACGCUGACGAAGGAGUUUCAUCAGUAGAGUGUGUCCUGGUAAAUGUGUGCUCGGAAACAUGCAGAUUACAGUAUUUACAGAGCCGACCUUGAGGCACCCACUGAUGGAUAAUCUGUUUACCUAAAAACAGCCCACCACAAUCCAUGUUUACCAGCUGUGAAAGUGCAGGCCAAAAAUCUUCCUUCACCUGUGGGCCUCUACCCACAUGUAGAUAAGCACUUCAGGAGAAACCUGCCUGUGAUCUGCUAAGAUGCACAGAUUCAACUCUGGCCCAUUGUCAUCCCAACACCUCAUCUGCCAUCAGUUUCGUUUAGUGUCGGUCUAUUGCAAAAGUUCUUAUAAACUUUAAAUGAGACUUUGUGUUAAGCAGGGGUUUCCAAACUUUUCAUUCCACAACAUAUUAAGCUCGGGAUACA